GCCGCGGUGGUGGAAUUGGUAGACACGCUAGUUUCAGGAACUAGUGCCUCUUACAAGGCGUGAAGGUUCGAGUCCUUUCCGCGGCACCA
Molecule: transfer RNA, 89 nt
Filed under: Candidatus Saccharimonadota bacterium
Lineage: Bacteria; Candidatus Saccharimonadota
Description: tRNA-Leu
Rfam family: tRNA
About the family: Transfer RNA (tRNA) molecules are approximately 80 nucleotides in length.
Source: RNAcentral